RNAcentral lists this transfer RNA (73 nucleotides) under Desmophyllum pertusum. Its description in RNAcentral is "Lophelia pertusa tRNA". It matches the Rfam family "tRNA". Rfam says of the family: Transfer RNA (tRNA) molecules are approximately 80 nucleotides in length. Lineage: Eukaryota; Metazoa; Cnidaria; Anthozoa; Scleractinia; Caryophylliidae. The record is from Rfam by way of RNAcentral.
GGCUUCAUAGUUCAGUUGGUAGAGCAUCGCACCGGUAUCGCGGAGGCCAUGGGUUCAAAUCUCGUUGAAGCCG